RNAcentral lists this ribosomal RNA (501 nucleotides) under uncultured bacterium. RNAcentral describes it as "partial 16S ribosomal RNA". It matches the Rfam family "Bacterial small subunit ribosomal RNA", at positions 30 to 523 of the family's 1533-position model. The record is from RNAcentral.
AUUGAACGCUGGCGGCAGGCUUAACACAUGCAAGUCGAGCGGGGGAAGGUAGCUUGCUACCGGACCUAGCGGCGGACGGGUGAGUAAUGCUUAGGAAUCUGCCUAUUAGUGGGGGACGACAUCUCGAAAGGGAUGCUAAUACCGCAUACGUCCUACGGGAGAAAGCAGGGGAUCUUCGGACCUUGCGCUAAUAGAUGAGCCUAAGUCGGAUUAGCUAGUUGGUGGGGUAAAGGCCUACCAAGGCGACGAUCUGUAGCGGGUCUGAGAGGAUGAUCCGCCACACUGGGACUGAGACACGGCCCAGACUCCUACGGGAGGCAGCAGUGGGGAAUAUUGGACAAUGGGGGGAACCCUGAUCCAGCCAUGCCGCGUGUGUGAAGAAGGCCUUAUGGUUGUAAAGCACUUUAAGCGAGGAGGAGGCUCUUUUGGUUAAUACCCAAGAUGAGUGGACGUUACUCGCAGAAUAAGCACCGGCUAACUCUGUGCCAGCCGCCGCGGUAA